UACGUAGGCAGCGAGCGUUGUUCGGAGUUACUGGGCGUAAAGGGUGUGUAGGCGGUUUUCUAAGUUUGGUGUGAAAUCUCCCGGCUCAACCGGGAGGGUGCGCCGAAAACUGGGAGACUAGGGUGCGGGAUGGGAGAGUAGGAAUUCCUGGUGUAGCGGUGAAAUGCGUAGAUAUCAGGAGGAAUACCGGUGGUGUAGACGGCUCUCUGGACCGCCACUGACGCUGAGACACGAAAGCGUGGGUAGCAAACAGG
RNAcentral lists this ribosomal RNA (254 nucleotides) under uncultured bacterium. Its description in RNAcentral is "partial 16S ribosomal RNA". It matches the Rfam family "Bacterial small subunit ribosomal RNA", at positions 524 to 776 of the family's 1533-position model. The record is from RNAcentral.